This 902-nucleotide long non-coding RNA is filed under the name Cricetulus griseus (Chinese hamster). RNAcentral's name for it is "lncRNA (ENSCGRG00015036647.1)". The record is from RNAcentral. Lineage: Eukaryota; Metazoa; Chordata; Mammalia; Rodentia; Cricetidae.
CUGGAGGAAGACAGGAAGCUGAGGACCAUCCUAUGACUGCCAGGAAAAGCUAAGUGGUCAUGAAUGUAAAGAAGAACCCAGUGACCUGGAAUUUGAUGAGCGGACAAGAAAAAAAACUGUAUCAAUGUGAAUGAAAUGGCUGAUGUUGGCCUGGUCAAGGAGGUUCCUGCCUACAUUCUGGAGAGAGGUUUCCAGGUCCUCCUCUCAGCAGAUACGGGACAAAGGACCAAUGAAUGAAGGUGACUAUAGCAGUUUAUAUGGUGGAUUACAUUUGAUUUAAGUAUGUUGAACCAUCCCUGCAUCUCUGAGAGGAAGCCUACUUGAUCAUGGUCCUUUAUGUUAACUCGAGAGCCAACAUUUCCCCCAAUGAAGUUGUAUCUAGCCCUGCCUGGUGCUGCCAGCUGAGCCUCAGCCAUGUGGGCAGCAUAUGCACAGUCAUGGUCAGCUCACAGACCACCAUAGAACUAAAAGGGAGAUGGCGACACAACCGCAUUCAAGACUCGGGGGCAGAGGACCAACCUCGUCUAUGUCUGAGGCCUUUGCCCAGAGCUACACUUCCUUCAGGCUGGUUGCCAGGACUCAACCCUGAUUGGAGGCAGAGGAGACACACUCCCGUCUCAGUUUCAAGUCUUCAUGUUUGGGUUGCAAAUGGGAAUUGAUAGUUCCAGCCUCCAGAUAGAUAAUGGAGAUCCACUACCUCCAGACAUCUGCCGCAUAUGUCUAUGACCCACGGGCUCGCUCUGAAAAGGACUGCUUCUGCUUCCCAGCCCUGGAAAUUUGAGCAUCUAGCUGCCACCAAGACUUCAAGCCUGUUUCAUUUAAACCUGUGUGCUGAUCUGUAUAAAGUGGUUUUAUCCCAUUGCCCCCAAGCUACUCAUAAAUCACAUUUUUUUUUAAAUACC